This is a non-coding RNA of Parelaphostrongylus tenuis, 72 nucleotides long. The record is from the annotation of a GenBank genome assembly. Lineage: Eukaryota; Metazoa; Nematoda; Chromadorea; Rhabditida; Metastrongylidae.
GCCUUGGUGCUGCAGCGGUAGCACGUACGACCAGUGAAGGCGAAAGGCGGGUUCGAUUCCCAGCUGAGGACG